AACGAACGCUGGCGGCAUGCCUAACACAUGCAAGUCGAACGAGACCUUCGGGUCUAGUGGCGAACGGGUGCGUAACGCGUGGGAACCUGCCCUUAGGUUCGGAAUAACUCCCCGAAAGGGGUGCUAAUACCGGAUAAUGUCUUCGGACCAAAGAUUUAUCGCCUUUGGAUGGGCCCGCGUUGGAUUAGCUAGUUGGUAGGGUAAAAGGCUACCAAGGCGACGAUCCAUAGCUGGUCUGAGAGGAUGAUCAGCCACACUGGGACUGAGACACGGCCCAGACUCCUACGGGAGGCAGCAGUGGGGAAUAUCGGACAAUGGGCGAAAGCCUGAUCCAGCAAGGCCGCGUGAGUGAUGAAGGCCUUAGGGUUGUAAAGCUCUUUUACCCGGGAUGAUAAUGACAGUACCGGGAGAAUAAGCUCCGGCUAACUCCGUG
This 433-nucleotide ribosomal RNA is filed under the name uncultured bacterium. RNAcentral describes it as "partial 16S ribosomal RNA". It matches the Rfam family "Bacterial small subunit ribosomal RNA", at positions 29 to 507 of the family's 1533-position model. The record is from RNAcentral.